RNAcentral lists this ribosomal RNA (473 nucleotides) under Theridion varians. Its description in RNAcentral is "eukaryotic LSU rRNA". The stretch from base 1 to 111 matches the Rfam family "5.8S ribosomal RNA", at positions 44 to 154 of the family's 154-position model. Lineage: Eukaryota; Metazoa; Arthropoda; Arachnida; Araneae; Theridiidae. The record is from RNAcentral.
CGCAGCCAGCUGCGAGACUUGGUGUGAAUUGCAGGACACAUUGAGCACUGAUUUUUCGAACGCGCAUUGCGGCCUCGGGUCCUGCCCGGGGCCUCGCCUGUCUGAGGGUCGGAUAAGACUUGCACAGGAGGCUACGCCUUCACAUGGCCGCACCGGAUCGUUCAGAUCCGCCGGCUCAAGGACCGACGGUUCCUCCCGGGCCGAGAAGCUCUUCGGAAAUCCAGCUCUGGAUAACCGCAGCGCGGCUUGGAGAAGACGCGACACAGUCAUCUCCUAUUGGCGCAGCGGACGACUCUUCCUGUAUCGCCUGGCCGUCGCGGAGACGGAAGGCGUGAGCGUUUUCCGAAUUUCGAGCGGAGAGCAUGCCCACCUUUUGAGGGAGGUCUCCUUUUUAUUUCCGAGAGGAAAGAAAAAAAAACUUACUUUUGUCGACCUCAGAUCAGACGAGAUGACCCGCUGAAUUUAAGCAUAUC